UCCAUGUGGACCACAGAGAUCUUUGCUCUGGAAGGAAGACAUGGGGCAGGUGGACAUUGCAUGGACAACAUAGGAGGAGAAUCCAGCUUACCUCCACCCCUAAACUAUACAGAUAAACACUGCACCACGGCCACAACCUCUGGUUUAGCUCAGAGACUGGGAUUCAACACACACACACCCCAGUGUUUUUGAAGGAGGCAGAACCAUGCUUGAACAACGGCUGAUUCCUGGAUCCCUCUGAGGCAUCUGGAGCAAGUCCCACAGCUUGAGCCAAAUGCAUCAAUGGUGUAACUUCAUGUAAGUCAAUGGAGCUACAGCAGGGACCGCUGCUUCCAUUUAGAUACAACGGUUCUGCGUGCCUAACCAAUCGCUGUAUAACCUGGGCAAUAUACCGACAUAGGAUAGAUCAAAAUCCAGGCCAGGGAAGGAUCUGAACUCCACUCUUCACAGCCCUACCUGGAGGGCGCGACGGCAAAGAUCUACACAACACCCUCUGGCCUUCGAGCCACAUGACUCAUGUUACUGGGGCAACGUCCGGGGAGGGAGGAAAUAGCGUGGUAAAAAAUAAAACCACAGCCCAGCUGAGUGUGAGAGACGCGCAGAGCCAGAGCCCGAGCAGCAGGAAAGCACAGCCUGGCUGGAGCGUUGCAGAGAUGGUCUGAGUAAUUAUCAAUGCCUGCAGGUAUGUGGCAUCAAAAAUUGGGAGCCUGUGUGGCCACAGAGGUGAGGAGCCCCUUACCACCACGGCCCACCCAGCUGACCACAGCCAGAACCAAAGUAAGUAAAGGACUUGCUGGAGCUGUCAUGAAGAUUGCUGUGGUGGGGGAGAACAAGCAUGCUAGAUUAGAAAGGUGGUGUGAUGCAGCGGGCUGCGACUCAGGCGAAUUAGGUUCUAUUCUUUGCUCUGCUACUAACCUGCUGCAUGGCAGUGCCGUAGCUAGGAAUGUAAGGUUGGGUGGGCUGCAAAUUAUUAUGGACGGGCAAUAUCCCACCCCCACAUUUCCUUACAGACACGGCUUUGGUUUUGGUUAGCUAAAGUCUUUUCAAAACUUGUC
RNAcentral lists this long non-coding RNA (1055 nucleotides) under Chrysemys picta bellii (western painted turtle). Its description in RNAcentral is "lncRNA (ENSCPBG00000006433.1)". Lineage: Eukaryota; Metazoa; Chordata; Testudines; Emydidae. The record is from RNAcentral.